UUCCACGUGGAAAGGUCGAAAAGUUUUUACUAUAUCGCGAUGGAGCUAGCUUCCGGUACGGUGGAAGACUACGUGAACGGAAAGCUCACUAAAAAGCUUGAUGAAAAGGCCAUUCUUCGAGACUCAUCCAUCGGGCUUCGCUGGCUCCACGCCCAUGGUAUCAUUCAUAGGGACAUCAAGCCAUCGAACAUUUUGCUGGUUGAGCACGAGAGAGAUAGAAUCAGGGGUAAACUCGCCGACUUUGGGAUAUCCAAGGACCUGACAACGAGUGGAUGGACAACGGGUGCCGUCGUUGGAACUUCGGGCUGGAUGGCUCCGGAGACAUUGACGCAGGCAUCGAGCAAUGAAACAAUCGCUGGAGCAGCGGAUGUGUGUUCCCUCGGCUUGGUCUUCUGCUACGUUCUAUCCAAGGGAGGUCAUCCGUCUUUCAAGAUUGCAGCGAAUGGGACGGACUUGGAAAUCGAAAACGACGCAUG
Amphibalanus amphitrite is the source of this 476-nucleotide long non-coding RNA. RefSeq lists it as uncharacterized. The transcript has 3 exons. The record is from RefSeq and is a predicted model, not a curated record. Lineage: Eukaryota; Metazoa; Arthropoda; Thecostraca; Balanomorpha; Balanidae.